UACGUAGGGCGCAAGCGUUGUCCGGAAUUAUUGGGCGUAAAGAGCUCGUAGGCGGCCUGUCGCGUCCGCUGUGAAAUCCCGGGGCUCAACCCCGGGCCUGCAGUGGAUACGGGCUGGCUAGAGGCAGGCAGGGGAGAACGGAAUUCCUGGUGUAGCGGUGAAAUGCGCAGAUAUCAGGAGGAACACCGGUGGCGAAGGCGGUUCUCUGGGCCUGUACUGACGCUGAGGAGCGAAAGCGUGGGGAGCGAACAGG
This 253-nucleotide ribosomal RNA is filed under the name uncultured bacterium. RNAcentral describes it as "partial 16S ribosomal RNA". It matches the Rfam family "Bacterial small subunit ribosomal RNA", at positions 524 to 776 of the family's 1533-position model. The record is from RNAcentral.